Molecule: ribosomal RNA, 255 nt
Filed under: uncultured bacterium
Lineage: Bacteria
Description: partial 16S ribosomal RNA
Rfam family: Bacterial small subunit ribosomal RNA
Source: RNAcentral
UACGUAGGGUGCGAGCGUUGUCCGGAAUUAUUGGGCGUAAAGAGCUCGUAGGCGGUGUGUCGCGUCGGCCGUGAAAACCUGCAGCUUAACUGUGGGCUUGCGGUCGAUACGGGCAUCACUGGAGUUCGGCAGGGGAGACUGGAAUUCCUGGUGUAGCGGUGAAAUGCGCAGAUAUCAGGAGGAACACCGGUGGCGAAGGCGGGUCUCUGGGGCCGAUACUGACGCUGAGGAGCGAAAGCGUGGGGAGCGAACAGG